Small nucleolar RNA from Mus spicilegus (steppe mouse), 137 nucleotides. The record is from Ensembl. NCBI's taxonomy places the organism in Eukaryota, Metazoa, Chordata, Mammalia, Rodentia, Muridae.
CCAGCCUUAGAGGUGUUGCAGGUGUGGCUGCUGUGUCACUUGUACAUCAGUAGGUGGCAGAGAGGAGAGAGAGGCUAUGUCUGUGUUAUGACCUCUGGAAAAGGGGAGCCCGAGACAACCACCAGUCCUGUGACAUG